GUGACCUCAAAUCAGGUAGGACUACCCGCUGAACUUAAGCAUAUCAAUAAGCGGAGGAAAAGAAACUAACAAGGAUUCCCCUAGUAACUGCGAGUGAAGCGGGAAAAGCUCAAAUUUAAAAUCUGGCGGUCUUUGGCUGUCCGAGUUGUAAUCUAGAGAAGUGUUAUCCGCGCUGGACCGUGUACAAGUCUCCUGGAAUGGAGCAUCAUAGAGGGUGAGAAUCCCGUCUUUGACAUGGACUGCCAGGGCUUUGUGAUGCGCUCUCAAAGAGUCGAGUUGUUUGGGAAUGCAGCUCAAAAUGGGUGGUAAAUUCCAUCUAAAGCUAAAUAUUGGCGAGAGACCGAUAGCGAACAAGUACCGUGAGGGAAAGAUGAAAAGAACUUUGGAAAGAGAGUUAAACAGUACGUGAAAUUGCUGAAAGGGAAACGCUUGAAGUCAGUCGCGUCGUCCAGGGAUCAACCUUGCUUUUGCUUGGUGCACUUUCUGGUUCGAUGGGUCAGCAUCAAUUUUGACUGUUGGAAAAAGGUCAAGGGAAUGUGGCAUCUUUGGAUGUGUUUAUAGCCCUUGGUCACAUACAAUGGUUGGGAUUGAGGAACUCAGCACGCCGCAAGGCCGGGUUUAAACC
Molecule: ribosomal RNA, 625 nt
Filed under: Cortinarius biformis
Lineage: Eukaryota; Fungi; Basidiomycota; Agaricomycetes; Agaricales; Cortinariaceae
Description: eukaryotic LSU rRNA
Rfam family: Eukaryotic large subunit ribosomal RNA
Source: RNAcentral